This 232-nucleotide unclassified non-coding RNA is filed under the name plant metagenome. RNAcentral describes it as "partial contains small subunit ribosomal RNA and internal transcribed spacer 1". The stretch from base 1 to 46 matches the Rfam family "Eukaryotic small subunit ribosomal RNA", at positions 1786 to 1831 of the family's 1831-position model. The record is from RNAcentral.
AAGCCGUAACAAGGUUUCCGUAGGUGAACCUGCGGAAGGAUCAUUACCGAGUAAGGGUCUUCAAGGCCCGACCUCCCACCCUUUGUUGUCGAACAAAUUUCUGUUGCUUUGGCGGGACCGCUCGGCCUCCGGGCCGGCUGCCGGGUCUCGUACCGGGCAAGCGCCCGCCAGAUGUCCAAUAUCAAAACACUUUGUUAAACUUUUUGUCUGAGUAAAUGAUAAAUUAAUCAAA